AUUAGGCAGCAGUGAGGAAUUUUGCGCAAUGGCCGCAAGGCUGACGCAGCAACGCCGCGUGGGUGAAGAAGGCCUUCGGGUCGUAAAGCCCUGUCAGGUGGGAAGAACGACACGGGGAGGAAUAUGCUCUGUGAGUGACGGUACCACCAGAGGAAGCACCGGCUAACUCCGUGCCAGCAGCCGCGGUAAUACGGAGGGUGCGAGCGUUAUUCGGAAUUACUGGGCGUAAAGCGCGUGCAGGCGGCCAACCAAGUCUGAUGUGAAAGCCCUGGGCUUAACCUGGGAAGUGCAUUGGAAACUGUUUUUCUUGAGUACUGGAGAGGAAGGGGGAAUUCCCGGUGUAGAGGUGAAAUUCGUAGAGAUCGGGAGGAAUACCAGUGGCGAAGGCGCCCUUCUGGACGGUUACUGACGCUGAGACGCGAAAGCGUGGGGAGCAAACAGGAUUAGAUACCCUGGUAGUCCACGCUGUAAACGAUGAGCACUAGGUGUAGCGGGUACUCAUUCCUGCUGUGCCGCAGCUAACGCGUUAAGUGCUCCGCCUGGGGACUACGGUCGCAAGACUAAAACUCAAAUGAAUUGACGGAAU
RNAcentral lists this ribosomal RNA (586 nucleotides) under uncultured bacterium. Its description in RNAcentral is "bacterial SSU rRNA". It matches the Rfam family "Bacterial small subunit ribosomal RNA", at positions 343 to 919 of the family's 1533-position model. The record is from RNAcentral.